This 427-nucleotide ribosomal RNA is filed under the name uncultured Luteolibacter sp. RNAcentral's name for it is "bacterial SSU rRNA". It matches the Rfam family "Bacterial small subunit ribosomal RNA", at positions 355 to 774 of the family's 1533-position model. The record is from RNAcentral. Lineage: Bacteria; Pseudomonadati; Verrucomicrobiota; Verrucomicrobiia; Verrucomicrobiales; Verrucomicrobiaceae.
UCGAGAAUAAUUCACAAUGGGGGAAACCCUGAUGGUGCAACGCCGCGUGGAGGAUGAAGGUCUUCGGAUUGUAAACUCCUGUCAUCCGGGAGUAAGACCUGACGGUGAAUAGCCGGCAGGGUUGAUAGUACCGGAAGAGGAAGGGACGGCUAACUUCGUGCCAGCAGCCGCGGUAAUACGAAGGUCCCAAGCGUUGUUCGGAAUCACUGGGCGUAAAGGGAGCGUAGGCGGCGCGGUAAGUCAGAUGUGAAAUCCCGGGGCUCAACCCCGGAACUGCAUCCGAUACUGCCGUGCUUGAGGGUUGGAGAGGUAGCUGGAAUUCUCGGUGUAGCAGUGAAAUGCGUGGAUAUCGAGAGGAACACUCGUGGCGAAGGCGAGCUACUGGACAACAUCUGACGCUGAGGCUCGAAGGCCAGGGGAGCAAAAG